Molecule: small RNA, 498 nt
Filed under: Arabidopsis thaliana (thale cress)
Lineage: Eukaryota; Viridiplantae; Streptophyta; Magnoliopsida; Brassicales; Brassicaceae
Description: ATSL177950
Source: RNAcentral
AUCACAUCUCCUAUACUCGCUACAUUUUAUUUUUCUCUCCCUACUUCUCUCAAUUGCAAAGGAUACAAGGAAACAGUGUGUAACUAAAUUGAAAUACAAAGAGCCCAUACCUCUAGUUAUUGUUACGAAUCCCUAUUUCACUGGUUAACAGUUUGAAUCUGCUUUGAAUCUAAAGCUGUGAAUGGUAAACAAAACCGCACUCAAAACCGCACCGCAACAGUGCUGUAACAGUAUCAAAAUCUCUACAUAUACAUAUGUAUCUAUGUAUUUUCGUUACUAUUUGAAUCGCACCGCACUUCUCGCGUACCGCAAAACGCAGUUAUUAUUCGGAGCUAAGAGUCACUCAAACCCAAAAAUUGUGGAGAAACAAUGUCAUGAAAAAAAAACCAAAUGCGUUAAAGAACCCUAAUCAAUUGUUUUUCUAUUCAUUUUUAAAUAAGGAAAAGAUGACAGCACAGUAAUUAAUAAAAUCUUCCAUAUCUCUAUUUUAAGCUAUAU